UACGGAGGGAGCGAGCGUUGUCCGAAGUUACUGGGCGUAAAGCGCGCGUAGGCGGGAAAUUAAGUGAGAAGUGAAAGGCUGGGGCUUAACCCCAUGCAGUGCUCCUCAUACUGGUUUUCUUGAGGGUGGUAGAGAGAAGUGGAAUGGCUGGUGUAGCGGUGAAAUGCGUAGAUAUCGGGAGGAACACCGGUGGCGAAGGCGGGUCUCUGGGCAAUUCCUGACGCUGAGGCGCGAAAGCGUGGGGAGCAAACGGG
This 254-nucleotide ribosomal RNA is filed under the name uncultured bacterium. RNAcentral describes it as "partial 16S ribosomal RNA". It matches the Rfam family "Bacterial small subunit ribosomal RNA", at positions 524 to 776 of the family's 1533-position model. The record is from RNAcentral.